Pangasianodon hypophthalmus (striped catfish) is the source of this 3489-nucleotide non-coding RNA. Lineage: Eukaryota; Metazoa; Chordata; Actinopteri; Siluriformes; Pangasiidae. The record is from the annotation of a RefSeq genome assembly.
AUGGCUCAUGCUGGGAGUUCCAUGUCCUUUCACUGCACUAUAGAGGCAAGGUUUGGCAUGAGCAGCUACACUAUGCAAUGGUACAAGCAAGCUUAUUAUGGCGCACCUGUACAGUUCCUUAUGAUGGAGUACGAACAGGCUACAAAGAAAAUGAACAUUGUCCUUGUCAAAGCCGAGAAUAAGUUCAGCUUGCACAUUUCAGACCUGACGCUGCAGGACAGUGCCAUUUAUUACUGUGCUGCCAGUGACACUGGCACUCAAGCAUAUUUUGGAAAUGGGACAAAACUGACCGUUUUAGAUCCCAACAUGACCAUCACCAGUCCAACAAUAAACAUGCUGUCACCUUCUCCAAAAGAGAUCUGCAACGCCCAGAAAUAUUGGGACAAUGUUACUUUGGUGUGUUUAGUCACAGAUUUUUAUCCCGAUCAUGUUAGCAUUAUUUGGCAAGUGAAUGGGAAAGAGAGAAACAAUAGUGUUGCGACAGACCAUGCGGCCCAACAAGAUCCAAACACUAGGCUUUACAGCAUGUCCAGCAGACUGAGUGUCAGUCAAACUGUGUGGACCAACGUCAAAAACAAAUUCACUUGCAUCGUUACUUUCUACGAUGGAAGUGACUACGUGAAGCUUUCACACAGCAUCAUAUAUUCACCAGGCAAAAUACCAGUGAGUGUGUAUGCCACAAUGCAAGUUGGAUACUUGAUGUUUCUUAGCAAGAGUCUGCUGUAUGCUGUGUUCGUCAGCCUUUUGGUGUGGAAAUUCAAGGCUACAAAAGAGAAGACACUGAUGACAGAAAACAGAGACAUUAUGAUCAGCUAGAUAAUAUUCAGCUAACAUGCCUAUAAAUAAAAGUGUCAAGCACUGUCACAAAUUACGGAAGUUUUAGCUAAUGUAUAUGAUUAUAUUUGCAUUCCGCAGCUUUGAUAGAUGUGAUUUUAGUGCAUUAGUGCCAUUGUUAUAGCUGAGGAUAAAAGUUAUAGUGCAUGCUAAUAUGUUCUGCAUAGUGUAUAACUGUACUAUGUAACCUUUCAUUAUUUGCUAUACAUUUCUUACCAUACAAUAUCAUUUUCCCUUUAGUGACAUCAUUUAGUACAUUAGUUAGUAUACAACAAAUCAUGACCUUCAGCAUUAAUAUGCCAUAAGUAACAUUAACAAAGUAAUUAACAAUUGUAUCCAUUCUUUUAAUAAUUAACCAAAUAAGCCAAAUAAUCAACACCUGAGUUAACUAAUGUUUAUAUAUUCAAUAUACAUUCAUACAUCAUACAUUCAAAGUAAAAUAAGUCCACAAUGUUGAACAUGAACACCUUAGUUCACAUGUUUGCAGUUGAUAAUUGGCUUAAAAAGUAAAAGUUCAGAACUGAGGCCCCAAUAUUUCAGUAUUUACAUAGUAUGUCAUAGUUAGUCAGCAUUUAGGAACUGCAAUAUCAUUUUGCUUAUUUGUAUGGACUUAUUUUUAGUCGCUGAUUGAAUAAACAGUAGUCAAUGCCUGAGUAUUUAGUUAACAUUUAAGAAACAUUGAUUAGUACAUGUGUUAUUUUACUUUGUUACUUUUAUAACCAUUGCAGUUCAUUAAUAUUAACUCAUGCAGUAAGUAAUGUUAGUUAAAGGAACCUUAAUGUAAAUUGUUACUAAAAAUGUUCCUUAGUCUGAAGAGAACAAUAAAGCAAUACUGACUAAAACUGUUUUCUGCCCACAUUUUCUUUCUAUUACAUUGUACUGCUCCCAUUACUGUAAAUGAAUGUUUUAAUGAAAAAAAAUAUUUUGUUGCACAGCAUAAUGGCUUCUCAGAAACAGCAUUUCUACUAAACUCUGUAUUUCUACAGUGGAAAGUCUGCAGAUUUGAAACUGUGUAGGUGUGUUCGAUGGGUCAUAUCUGAAUUUUCCAGCUUAACAUGAAGAUUAUUAAUGCUGUAUGAUUGGUACAUGCACAGUAUGGUGAAUGACUAAUGGAAAUGUAGUUCAUAUGUAAAUCAGAUGUUAUAAUGCCAGAAAAACACAUCAAAACACAUAUGUUUAUGUGGAAACUUACUUUUUUCAGUUUUACUGAAAUUGCCUUGUGAUAAUAUAAUGAUAAUAUAAAAUGUUUUUUUUUUCAUUACCAAAAAGCACCCCUAAAGAAAAAACAGCAGGUUUGUACAUGCACUGUUAUUUUUAUUCACUUAUCGAAAAUUUAAGAUCAACCCCAAUGUAAGGCCUAUGUGUUAAAGUAUGUCAGUGAGGGCUGAGGGCAGGAUGUGGUAGCUGCUUGCUGAGAGCAGGGUGAAGGUGUAGGGGCAGACAGAGGAGAGGAUGUGGUAAGAGCAGUGUCAGAAUGAAGCUUUUGUUCCACCCAGUUCUUCACCACAGAGCUGCUUUAUGCUAACACCUGCUGUUGCGAACAAAGCCUCAGAGCUCACAGGGCCCUGCAAAGUAGAAAGCCUGCAGUGAGGAAACUGGUGCAGAGCAUUUUCAUUUGUGAAAUGUGUGUACAACAUUUCAAGUUUGCUCAUUGUUUGUGUCACACAUGUCAACAUGACAUCUUUAGUCUACCUAGUUUGAAACACAAGACAAAACAUUUUUGUUCUGCAAUAAUCAAAUGAUUAUUGUUUUGAAAUUUAAAUGAGGUUUGCAUGUUACAUCUAGAUUGAUGUUUUUAAAAAUGCUCUUUGAUUUCUGUCAGAAGGACAUAUAUUCUCCUCAGCCAAAACAUGCCAGAUAAAGCCUAAUGAAAUAAAAACAAGUGCAAAUUGAAAUAUGACUUUGAUUCUUUACUGUGAGAAAGGGAGCACAUGAACAAACAUAGCUGUGGUCCUUCCAAUCAAGGUCAUGUGGCCUUAGAAAGUAGUCGUCAUCCUAAUGACUUCUUGUGGUUUUUGUACAGCUCUGUGAUGACACUGGGAUGCUGUGGGGACUGGCUGCACAGUACCACACUGCAGAGCCGAUCUCACUCACUCCAUCAGACUCCAGAACAAUAUGAAGCCUAUCAGGUCUGUGAGAUUUAAACUCACCCUCGCUGGACGGAUUCACUGAACCAGCAUUUAUAGAGUAGAAUAUCAGUGUGAACCCUUCUGCAGGAGUCCAGCGGUACCAGUAAAGAUAUGGGUCAUUAGUACCACUUAUGAAGCAGGAGACCUUUAGUGAUGAUCCUUUUGAAAGAACCAGGUCCUCUGGGUCCUGAUGGACCUGUAUGAGCUCCAAACCUGUGGUGAUGAAAAUGAAUUAGUUUGAAUUCUGUUGUAAAAGUUCUCAGUAAUUCUGAAGCAAUCAUGUUAUUAGCUUACAUGUAGUCAAAAGCCAAUGUAUUGUCAGAAUAAAAAGAGUUAAAUGCAAAUGCAUCCUGUUAAGUAGCACAACAUACAGUAUCAGUUGUAGUAACUAGAACUCAGUGCUGAAACAGACUGGUACUUAUUAAUGGGGUGGCACCCUGUGCUACUUCACCCCUACUAUCACAGCUAGUGAAUUACAUAUGCUGUUGUUGAUCUCAGCCUUUUUUGCUUUUACGGUUCCUGGAAA